CGGCGAGUGAAGCGGCAAGAGCUCAAAUUUGAAAUCUGGCCCCUCCGGGGUCCGAGUUGUAAUUUGCAGAGGAUGCUUCGGGCGCGGUCCCCGUCUAAGUACCCUGGAACGGGUCGUCAUAGAGGGUGAGAAUCCCGUCUGGGACGGGUGGCCGUGUCCGUGUGAAGCUCCUUCGCGAGUCGAGUUGUUUGGGAAUGCAGCUCUAAAUGGGUGGUAAAUUUCAUCUAAAGCUAAAUAUUGGCCGGAGACCGAUAGCGCACAAGUAGAGUGAUCGAAAGAUGAAAAGCACUUUGAAAAGAGAGUUAAACAGCACGUGAAAUUGUUGAAAGGGAAGCGCUUGCGACCAGACUCGCCCGCGGGGGUUCAGCCGGUACUCGUACCGGUGUACUCCCCCGGGGGCGGGCCAGCGUCGGUUUGGGCGGUCGGUCAAAGGCCUCCGGAAUGUGUCGCCCCCCGGGGCGUCUUAUAGCCGGAGGUGCAAUGCGGCCAGCCUGGACCGAGGAACGCGCUUCGG
Molecule: ribosomal RNA, 514 nt
Filed under: Paecilomyces variotii
Lineage: Eukaryota; Fungi; Ascomycota; Eurotiomycetes; Eurotiales; Thermoascaceae
Description: partial large subunit ribosomal RNA
Rfam family: Eukaryotic large subunit ribosomal RNA
Source: RNAcentral